Molecule: ribosomal RNA, 253 nt
Filed under: uncultured bacterium
Lineage: Bacteria
Description: partial 16S ribosomal RNA
Rfam family: Bacterial small subunit ribosomal RNA
Source: RNAcentral
UACGGGGGGGGCAAGCGUUGUUCGGAAUUACUGGGCGUAAAGGGCCAGUAGGCGGCCAACUAAGUCCGACGUGAAAUCCCAAGGCUUAACCUUGGAACUGCGUCGGAUACUGGAUGGCUUGAAUUCGGGAGAGGGAUGCAGAAUUCCAGGUGUAGCGGUGAAAUGCGCAGAUAUCAGGAGGAACACCGGUGGCGAAGGCGGUGGUCUGGGCCGGCACUGACGCUGAGGAGCGAAAGCGUGGGUAGCAAACAGG